CGCACGGGUGCGUAACGCGUAUGCAAUCUACCUUUUACAGAGGGAUAGCCCAGAGAAAUUUGGAUUAAUACCUCAUAGUAUGUGAGAAUCGCAUGGUUUUCACAUUAAAGUUCCAACGGUAAAAGAUGAGCAUGCGUCCCAUUAGCUAGAUGGUAAGGUAACGGCUUACCAUGGCUACGAUGGGUAGGGGUCCUGAGAGGGAGAUCCCCCACACUGGUACUGAGACACGGACCAGACUCCUACGGAAGGCAGCAG
This 255-nucleotide ribosomal RNA is filed under the name uncultured bacterium. Its description in RNAcentral is "partial 16S ribosomal RNA". It matches the Rfam family "Bacterial small subunit ribosomal RNA", at positions 99 to 354 of the family's 1533-position model. The record is from RNAcentral.